RNAcentral lists this ribosomal RNA (254 nucleotides) under uncultured bacterium. RNAcentral describes it as "partial 16S ribosomal RNA". It matches the Rfam family "Bacterial small subunit ribosomal RNA", at positions 524 to 776 of the family's 1533-position model. The record is from RNAcentral.
UACGGAGGGGGCAAGCGUUGUUCGGAUUUACUGGGCGUAAAGGGUGUGUAGGCGGUUGCGUCAGUCUGGUGUGAAAUCUUCACCGCUCAACGGGAAGGAGCCACUGGAAACUGCGCAACUCGAGUAUGGUAGAGGCUAGCGGAAUUCCUGGUGUAGCGGUGGAAUGUGUAGAUAUCAGGAAGAACAUCUGUGGCGAAGGCGGCUAGCUGGGCCAUCACUGACGCUGAGACACGAAAGCGUGGGGAGCGAACGGG